GUUUAAUUUAUUGUGGUUGUUUUUUAUUUGCUUAUUGAAAUAUCAUUUUGGUUGUUGUAAUUUUUAUGAUUUAAUUUUUUAUGCGAUAGUAUAUUUGUACCGUGAGGGCUCAUUGGGAUUUAUUUUUUGAAGUUGAUUUUAUUUGUUGUACCUUGUGUAUCAGGGUUCAUUGAGUUUUAUUAUUUAUUUUUAUUUCCCGAUUUCAAAUAAAGGAGUUAGUGGUUUAUAUUAGUUAUUGUUUUAUUAAUAUUAAUAAUAGGCUAUUGGUAGUGAAAUGUUAUUCGUCUUUGGUGGUUUCUGGUUUUCUAAGAAAUGAAUUUAAUUCAUACAUCUUAUUUAAUUUCUGUUGUUUGUCUAUUUAUUUUUAUUUGGUGUUAAAAUCAAGGGGGAUUAGCUCUUUGUUUUGGUUAUUAUAAUUUAUUUUAUUUAAUUUAGUUUUGUGGAUUUUAUAGUGAUUUUCUAUUUGAUUAUGUUAAAAUUUUAUUUGCUUUUUUAUUUAUUUUAUGUUAUUUAAUUUAUUUAUUAGAUUGUUUUCUUUAUUUUUGGUUUGGAUAGUAAUUAUUGUGUAAUUAGUAAAUCUCGUUUGUUGUUGUUGAUGGUUUAUGGGUGUUAAUUUCUUUUUAGGAAUUAGGCAAAGGGUAUUUCAUGUCCGCCUGUUUAACAAAAACAUCUCUUCUUGUAAGUUUUUGAGGUAUGGCCUGCCCACUGAUAUUUAGUUGAAGGGCCGCGGUAUUUUGACCGUGCAAAGGUAGCAUAAUCAUUAGUUCUUUAAUUGUGAUCUGGUAUGAAUGGCUUGACGAGAUAUGAGCUGUCUUUAUGGUAUUGUUUGUUGAAUUUGGAGUUUGGGUUAAAAUUCCUAGAUGUUUUUAUGGGACGAGAAGACCCUAUAGAGUUUGACAUCUAACUUAUUGCUUGUUUAUUGUUUGUUUAUUUUUGUAGUGGAUUAGGUGUUUUGUUGGGGUGAUGGGAGGAAUUUUUUUAACUCCUCUUUGUUGUUUAUAUAUUUGUAUAUAGUUUUUUGAUCCUUUAUUUUGAUUAUAAGAUUAAAUUACCUUAGGGAUAACAGCGUUAUCUUCCUUGAGAGUUCUUAUUGGCGGGGAGGUUUGCGACCUCGAUGUUGGAUUAAGAUGAAUUUUUGGUGUAGGAGCUGAAAGUGAUUAGGUCUGUUCGACCUUUAAAAUCUUACAUGAUCUGAGUUCAGACCGGCGUGAGCCAGGUUGGUUUCUAUCUAUAAUAUUAUUUAUAUCUUAGUACGAGAGGACCGGGUAUUUGGAAUAAUUUUGGUUGUAUAUUGAUUGUUAUUAAUGUGUUGCUAUUUUGGCAGAUAAGUGCAUUGGAUUUAGAAUCUAUUAAUGUAAAGUUUU
This 1364-nucleotide ribosomal RNA is filed under the name Promirotermes pygmaeus. RNAcentral's name for it is "16S ribosomal RNA". The stretch from base 867 to 1234 matches the Rfam family "Bacterial large subunit ribosomal RNA", at positions 2073 to 2647 of the family's 2925-position model. The record is from RNAcentral. Lineage: Eukaryota; Metazoa; Arthropoda; Insecta; Blattodea; Termitidae.